AAUCCGUGGUGUGGGCAUUUUUAAUCAACAUUUUGAAACGUUCCCACGCCUCAUAGGAACUUUCUCCCUUAAUCUGUCUAAAGGCAACAAUCUCUCUUCUUAGUUG
This 106-nucleotide small nucleolar RNA is filed under the name Gossypium hirsutum (cotton). Its description in RNAcentral is "Plant small nucleolar RNA R71". It matches the Rfam family "Plant small nucleolar RNA R71". Rfam says of the family: R71 is a member of the C/D box family of snoRNAs containing the C (UGAUGA) and D (CUGA) box motifs. Lineage: Eukaryota; Viridiplantae; Streptophyta; Magnoliopsida; Malvales; Malvaceae. The record is from Rfam by way of RNAcentral.